GAAAUAUAAGAACCCGUCUCUUAACUUUUAACUAAAAAAGUUAAGACCCGGUUCUUAGCUUUUUUAGUUAAAAGUUAAGAGACGAGUUCUUAUAUUUC
This is a non-coding RNA of Brassica rapa (field mustard), 98 nucleotides long. The record is from Rfam. Lineage: Eukaryota; Viridiplantae; Streptophyta; Magnoliopsida; Brassicales; Brassicaceae.